Molecule: long non-coding RNA, 1606 nt
Filed under: Acanthaster planci (crown-of-thorns starfish)
Lineage: Eukaryota; Metazoa; Echinodermata; Asteroidea; Valvatida; Acanthasteridae
Description: uncharacterized LOC110979816
Source: RNAcentral
CGUCGGGUGAAAUUCAACGACCACGUGAGCGAAAUGCCGGCCAUUUUGAAAUUCAACGUGGGAAAAAAGAAUUUGCAGCCCCAAAAUGUGGAUAUUUUUUCUUCUUUUUUGACAGCAGUUUGGUAGACUUGAGGACUAUUCCUUGUGUCAGGAAACUAGCUGUAAUGAAUCUGUUUGCCUACAAGCAUCACUAAGAUGUGCUGGUACACCAUACAAAUUGAUGUAACUCCUUGUUCAGAUGACAUCAUGGCUACUGUCCCUUGUACAGGACACACUGGCGUGAUAUUACAUCUCAAGACUGCUGACAUACACCUACAUGUACAUGCGGUUAUGGAGCCUCUGCUAUUGGAUGAUCUGUAAUCAGCUACCUCUAACCUGAGGCUUGGUGAUGAUGCAGUUCUGAAAUGGUCAUCCAGUAGAUGUCGGGAGUCUGUGAUGUCAUUAUUUGAGGAAUUUCUACCCUCCAAGAUGGGGAAGACUCGAUGUCUGCCUCCCUUAGACUGAUUACAAAAUAAGCAAAUCCAUAGCAAUCUUUCUUCCACGUCAUCCCCCCCCAUCAAAAUGCACUUUGAGGAAGAACUUUGUGCAAUUCAAAUUUUCUUCUGUAGCCGUACAUGUAUGAAACUUGCACAUGUAACAAUUUCAAGACUUCAGGUUCUAUCAGUUGCUGUGGAUUUGCUCAGAGCUAAUUAAGUGACCAGCUCCAUUGAAAUCCGGAAUAGGUUGAGAAAUCACAGCUUCUUGAAAGACAGUCACAAAAAAAACUUUGGACCAUGAAUUGUGCCCACAAAUUUGUCAGACUGUGUCUAAACCUAUGAUUUGCGUUGCAGAUUACUUAGACUUCAUGACUGCAAAUCUUUUGCUAGUAUAUUUGUUAAUCAUAGUUACUAAAAGCAAACUUUUCCCUGUUAAAAGGGGAGCUGAGUGUUGUAUUUUUUGAAAUUUUGAUUUGAAUGGAGCAGGUCACAUCUUUUCCAAAGGUUGCUUGAAGCUUUUAACUAUGUAACACUUCACUCGGCACUGAAAAUGUCAUAUAAAUUUAUCAAUAAAAACAAAAUACAAGUUAUAAAAAAGAAUAAAUCCAGGCACAUGUUCAUGAAGGUUUUAAUUUGAAAGUUGUUUCACCCAUUUAAUGUCAGAUUUUCUUAUGCGAAAAAGCUACUGGGGUUUUUCUUACCUGUAAAUUCCUCAACCUUGCACUUGUGCUUUGACCCAACCAAGUACAAUGCAUUAAAACGUCAAUUGCGGAAAAGAAAAAAAGAAUUCUGAAAUGAGUGUACAUGCCCUCCGUGGAACAAAUAAGGAAAUUUGUGUUUACACAUAAUCUGGCGUCAAUUGGUUAAAGUUGCAUGGAGUGACUUCAAUUAAUCGAGUCAACUCGUUAACAGAGGACUUUCCAGCAAGUUGGAUAUUUUCUACAAGAUAAAAUGUGGAUUGGAUUACUGCUUUAUUGUUAACUGAAGACAUUUUUCAGUUAAAUAUAGAGUUUUUUGGAAAAGACUCAGCAUUGGAAAUGUAUAUUGAUGGGAAAACAUAGUUUACAAGUGUGAUUACUGUUUGCCCUUAUCUGCAAUAAGAAAUGAACAGUAACUUGGAGAUGAAUACA